CCGGACUUAGAGCAGGAGCUUCACCUAAACCAUUCCCUUUAGAGAGCUGAAGCUCAUAAUCUUAUGGGGAAAAGCAAAAGCAGAGUUCUGUGGAGCCAGAAACCCCAUAAAGUAAGUAACUCACCUGACGAGCUGGCCGGGGUAGGCAGAGGUGCCCUCCUGCACAGAAGAAAACACAGAGCUGAGGAUCUGCGUGGCUCUGGGACUCCCAGUGGCCUGGCUCUGGGCUCCCCAACUGCCCUCCCAGAGCUGGUUGGAGGGCAAGAGGUUUGGCCAGCCUGGACUUCAUGGAGACCUGAUACCAAGGCACGUCAUGAGCUGGUUGACAUGAAGCCAGAGGGCAUUGCGGAAAUAGUUGAGCCGCUCACACUCCUGAGUCUCAAAGAACUGAAAUGACACAGACAAAACAGCCCUAACAUCUUUGAGAACAAAUGUCUUCUAUUCUGAUCUCUUUUCAUCCCACUACAAAGAUCACUGGUAGAUCUUUGAUCAACCAUCCACAGCAAGGAGUAGGUGAUGUUGGUCUUCUGCAGGAAGCAUGGUAACCAUGAGUCAUAGAAUCAUAGAACCAGCUAGGUUGGAAGAGACCUUGUCCAGAGAAAAAGUCGACCCUUUACACACCCAGAUAUUUCAAAGAUGAGCGUUAAGUUCAGGAAGGUCUGCAGGGCCCGUGCGGAAGGGGUCACUCAGCACAACACUACCUCUGGGGAGACGAAGCCAGCUUCCUAAAGGCACUGCAUGUUUCCUAGGUACCCCAUGGUCCUGCAGUCCCAGCUGACUUCUCUCCCACAACUAUGGAGCAAUAAAAAAGCAUUUGGGAUAUCUGAAAGCAAA
Molecule: long non-coding RNA, 834 nt
Organism: Pezoporus occidentalis (night parrot)
Lineage: Eukaryota; Metazoa; Chordata; Aves; Psittaciformes; Psittacidae
Exons: 2
Source: RefSeq, a predicted model, not a curated record